RNAcentral lists this long non-coding RNA (472 nucleotides) under Setaria italica (foxtail millet). Its description in RNAcentral is "long non-coding RNA (SITA_LNC001664)". The record is from RNAcentral. Lineage: Eukaryota; Viridiplantae; Streptophyta; Magnoliopsida; Poales; Poaceae.
ACGAAGAUGGAGAUUGGCUUCCACUUGGGCCUGUUGAUGGUGGGCAUGGUGACCACGUGGCGCGUGCCCGCGUCGAAGAUGAAGGCGUCCCCGCAUCGGCCCGUGCAGAGCACCUUGCGAUCUGAAAGCGGCGAGCUGCUGAUGCCGCUGGUUUCGAAGCUCAAGGUCGGGCUGGGAAGCCGAAUCUGCUCCAUCGUUGAGGCCGCCGGUGGCGUGUCCGGUGGCGUGCCGGGCUGGUUUUGCCUGCUUCAACCAGUAAAGCAUUCAGCUUCUGUAAAUUCAUCACGAUUAUAGCUUCGGUAGAAGUAGAGCACAUUGAAUUCGUCAUCACAAUUCACUGUGUUCGUCUUGACAACUUGUUCGAUUCCCGUUUCAGUUAAGCACGCGCAGCUCUAGGCUUCCAUAGAGAUCCAAAAGCGGAGAGCAUCGUGGCUUUUGCGUUGCCCGCUGUCCCUGGAUCGGUGGCUGCCAG